GGGAGUAAAGCUCAGUGGUAGAGCGCGUGCUUGGCGUGCACGGGGCCCUGGGUUCAAUCCCCAGUGCCUCUG
RNAcentral lists this transfer RNA (72 nucleotides) under Camelus bactrianus (Bactrian camel). It matches the Rfam family "tRNA". From Rfam's summary of the family: Transfer RNA (tRNA) molecules are approximately 80 nucleotides in length. RNAcentral also lists the same sequence under 2 other names. Lineage: Eukaryota; Metazoa; Chordata; Mammalia; Artiodactyla; Camelidae. The record is from Rfam by way of RNAcentral.